UUACAGGAAUUAUGUUCAUGGGAAGUGGC
This 29-nucleotide non-coding RNA is filed under the name Homo sapiens (human). Lineage: Eukaryota; Metazoa; Chordata; Mammalia; Primates; Hominidae. The record is from RNAcentral.